This 29294-nucleotide long non-coding RNA is filed under the name Linum usitatissimum (flax). RNAcentral's name for it is "long non-coding RNA (LUSI_LNC007052)". The record is from RNAcentral. Lineage: Eukaryota; Viridiplantae; Streptophyta; Magnoliopsida; Malpighiales; Linaceae.
UUUUUUUUCUUUCUCGUUUUCUUUUGUUACUACUUCAAUUCAUCAAUCAGGUGGUGGGAAGAAAACAACUCAACAAAACUCGCUCUACUUAACUACCACAGAAACUCCGUCAACCAUUGAUCAACCGCAAAUUAACUUGCUCCAUCACAAUAAGUUCCUAGAAAAAAAAUACAAGAUCGCUGCCAACUUACCUGUAACCUCUUAUUUUCGACGGUGCCGAUUCGACUUGAAAAAAGUUUCAAACGAAGGGGGUUUUGGUGAGUGGGGAAAGAAAAACGUAGUGAGAGGUUUUGAGAGAUUUUUCAGCGAUUUAUGUGAUCAGAUUAUUAUGAUUUCAAAAUUUAAAAUAUGAUAUAAUUAGGUACAAUUCAUCCCAAAUAUUAUUUUUACAUUUUGAAUCAUUAAAUCAGGAUUCUAAAAUCUAAUAAUUAUUAAUUAAUAGUGUUUUAACCGUUAUCACACUUAGGAGAUCCUAAUAAUAUUAGAUCUGUUAAUGUAGCUAUUAAAAAAAUCGGGCAUGGAGACAAGUAUUAGUUUUUCAGCGAAACGUUGGGCUGUUCAAAACAAAAUUGGGCCAGAUUCAUCGGCGCGAUUUUGGACAAUUGGGAUCUUCACCGUUGGUUUAUCUAAAACAAAAUUGGGCCUUAAUUUAAGAGGGUUACUAAACGACGCCCUGGACUUCGAAUUAAACGAUGCCCUACAUUCGUUAUGACCUAAACGUCCAUUUUGUAAAAAUAAAAAAUUUACUAUUUCGAUCCAAAAAACUCUUNNNNNNNNNNNNNNNNNNNNNNNNNNNNNNNNNNNNNNNNNNNNNNNNNNNNNNNNNNNNNNNNNNNNNNNNNNNNNNNNNNNNNNNNNNNNNNNNNNNNNNNNNNNNNNNNNNNNNNNNNNNNNNNNNNNNNNNNNNNNNNNNNNNNNNNNNNNNNNNNNNNNNNNNNNNNNNNNNNNNNNNNNNNNNNNNNNNNNNNNNNNNNNNNNNNNNNNNNNNNNNNNNNNNNNNNNNNNNNNNNNNNNNNNNNNNNNNNNNNNNNNNNNNNNNNNNNNNNNNNNNNNNNNNNNNNNNNNNNNNNNNNNNNNNNNNNNNNNNNNNNNNNNNNNNNNNNNNNNNNNNNNNNNNNNNNNNNNNNNNNNNNNNNNNNNNNNNNNNNNNNNNNNNNNNNNNNNNNNNNNNNNNNNNNNNNNNNNNNNNNNNNNNNNNNNNNNNNNNNNNNNNNNNNNNNNNNNNNNNNNNNNNNNNNNNNNNNNNNNNNNNNNNNNNNNNNNNNNNNNNNNNNNNNNNNNNNNNNNNNNNNNNNNNNNNNNNNNNNNNNNNNNNNNNNNNNNNNNNNNNNNNNNNNNNNNNNNNNNNNNNNNNNNNNNNNNNNNNNNNNNNNNNNNNNNNNNNNNNNNNNNNNNNNNNNNNNNNNNNNNNNNNNNNNNNNNNNNNNNNNNNNNNNNNNNNNNNNNNNNNNNNNNNNNNNNNNNNNNNNNNNNNNNNNNNNNNNNNNNNNNNNNNNNNNNNNNNNNNNNNNNNNNNNNNNNNNNNNNNNNNNNNNNNNNNNNNNNNNNNNNNNNNNNNNNNNNNNNNNNNNNNNNNNNNNNNNNNNNNNNNNNNNNNNNNNNNNNNNNNNNNNNNNNNNNNNNNNNNNNNNNNNNNNNNNNNNNNNNNNNNNNNNNNNNNNNNNNNNNNNNNNNNNNNNNNNNNNNNNNNNNNNNNNNNNNNNNNNNNNNNNNNNNNNNNNNNNNNNNNNNNNNNNNNNNNNNNNNNNNNNNNNNNNNNNNNNNNNNNNNNNNNNNNNNNNNNNNNNNNNNNNNNNNNNNNNNNNNNNNNNNNNNNNNNNNNNNNNNNNNNNNNNNNNNNNNNNNNNNNNNNNNNNNNNNNNNNNNNNNNNNNNNNNNNNNNNNNNNNNNNNNNNNNNNNNNNNNNNNNNNNNNNNNNNNNNNNNNNNNNNNNNNNNNNNNNNNNNNNNNNNNNNNNNNNNNNNNNNNNNNNNNNNNNNNNNNNNNNNNNNNNNNNNNNNNNNNNNNNNNNNNNNNNNNNNNNNNNNNNNNNNNNNNNNNNGUUCACACACAACCGAAUAAGAUCAGGUAUUAUCUGAACAAGAAGUUCAACACUCGUCAUAAUAUGAAUCAGAUUUAUAACGAGUCGUACAAGAUUAGGAAGGAGAAAUUAGAUGGUUUGGAUCCGAUGGAGUGGACAUUGCGUCAAGCUACAGGGCUAGGUUAUUUCGUCCAGUACUUAAAGGAUGAUGAUGACAAUCUUGUUCAUCUGUUUCUUAGCCACCCCGAAUGUGUCCAGAUGGUUAGUUCAUGAUAUUUCGUGAUAAUUAUUGACUUGACUUUCAAUACCAACGCUUAUAGGAAGCCAGUGAUCUAGUUGGUUGGUGUGACUCCGGUGCGGAAGAACUUUAGCAUCGGGGUUGCAUUCGUUGAUAAUGAAAAACCAGAGUCUUAUAUUUGAGUGUUGGAAUGUCUGGAGUUGAUGUUGGGUAGGCGGGAACCUACGACGUUUGUGAUUGAUAAGGAGCGAGGUGCGGCAACCCACUGCAUUUGUUACUGAUAAGGAGCGAGGUCUGGCAGCGGCUCUCCGCACCGUAUUCCCAAAUACUCCUCAUUUACUAUGCAUCUGACACAUGAUUAAAUACAUCACGAGUAAUGCAGAAAUGGCUGAGGCUUUCGUGCAUGGUAGGUGGAACAAAGUGUUGUAUGCACUAACAGAUGCGGAGAUCUUCACGGAGUGGGAGGAUAUGGUAAUGAGUGACUGGGCUAAUGUCGGAGCAUUGAUGGAGUACUUAGGAAGCGAGUGGUUACCGUAUAAGACUCAGUGGGCCCAUUGCAACACCAACGAGGUUUUCCAUAUUGGGUGUACGAGUACGAACAGGGUGGAGUCGCAGCACUCGUCCCUCAAAACAUGGUACAACUCUUCCAAUCAGGGACUUGAUACACUAUUUGAGGGAUAUCAUGCAUCGAUCGAGGGUCAAGUCAUCGAAGUGCAGCGGGCUAUCGAUGAAUCACGAAGCAAGGUAUCGUACUGUUUAAAUAAGUACUUAGUCAAUCACUAGUUAUUUAGGAAUGUUUAACUUAACUAGCUUUUUGGUUUCGUGUAGACUCAUCGUUUCUCGCAUAGACGACCAUUUACGUAUUUGAAAAAUAAAGUCAGCAUCUGGAGUAUUGAGUUGGUGAAUGAGGCGUUAUCCAGUAAGGACGAUUGUGAUUGUGUGAUCGAAGCCACGCACGGCCUGCCUUGUACUUAUAGGCUCGAAUCUCUGGAGCGUGAUGGGGUCGAGCUGAAACCAUACCACCUCCACCACUUUUGGCGAUCUUUGGAAUACCGUCUUCCUGUAGAUAGUGAGAAGUGGGAAGACCAUGACUCGACAGAUUGCGCCAUCCUCAGCGGAAUGGUUCAGACCAUUUGUGAUAGAGGUGGCCCCGCUGUACAGGCCUUGACUUCACUGGUGCGGUCCCAGUAUCAACCAGAAUCUGACGGAAUGAAAGAGCCGAAGAAGUCGGAUGCGCCUAAAGGCCGGCCCCGUGCGCGAAAGACCGAUGGGCGGCACCCUUCGUACCACGAGCAUGCGAGUGCUCAUUGCACCCCAUCUAAGGGCAAGGCCAAAUCAGGUUUGGUACAUGUUACACUAUGCUAUCGGUGUCUUUGUUAUGCGAGGUUUGUAACAUAAGUAUACCAUGUAACAGGUAGCGGAACUGCGCAAGCGGCUAAACCCACCCUAAGCAAGUCUAGAACCUCUAUUCCUAGCAGAGGUGUGUAGUUUUUCCUUACAACAUUUCUUUCAUUGAUGUUGUCUCGUCCGUAGUCGUCCUUAUUUUAUGAUUCGGCAUCACUUUCAGUGCUUCCAUAAAUGUCGUAUAUCCCUGCCGGGCUCUGGCCGUUUGCAACUUCGGUAUUCGAUGUUAUUGGUGACGGCCACUGCGGGUUUAGAUGUGUAUCCCACUCUUUUACCGGCGGUGACCAACAUCAAUAUGUUGCCAUACGUUAGGAGCUUAUGGAUUGCAUCCAUGUGUGCUGGGGACGGUGGUAUCAUAAGGUGUAUGAGGGCGAUCUGGACACUGUCCUUACCAGACUGGGGUGGCUAUGGAUCACACCGUGUGAGAGACCAUGGUGGUUAUGGAAUAUGGACCUUUUCGGAUUCGCCACUAAGCACAAUUGGACGUACGUGGUUUUUGGCUUGGGGGUCGUGGUAUUCCGUACGGAGAGUCAUUUCUCCCGAUGAAAAUCGGGGACACACCGGAGCCGGGUGGUGUGACAUUUCUAGUUUGCACCGGUGAUCACUGGGUACGUUUAUAUCUGGAUGUCCAUGACGGGGUACUUCCAAUCCCGCCGGUCAGUCAAAUGUGGCGUUAUUGGGCAGAUGAUAGUGCGAAAGCAGCAUGGCUGGGCACACUGUACCGUCGGGAGAAUUUAACGUACCAAAUGUUGGUACAAUCUGCACAAUAGUUUGCGCCGGUGAUCACUGGAUGCAUUACAUUUGUGAUAUCGUCUACGCAAUGUACUAAGAUUGUUUACUUUGGUGUUGUUAAGUGUUUUGUAGUAUUGUUAAGUGUUUUAGGGUAUUGUGUAAUAAAUAAGUGUUCAUAAACAAUGAACGGUCACGUUUAUGGUCGGAUGGUAUCGUGUAAUAAAUAAGUGUGUUCGAAAUCUGGUCGCUUUUAUGAUCAAAUAAGUGUGAAAAUUACUGAAGGCUCAAUAGUGCAUAAUAUCAUAACUGCAUAAUAUCAAAAGUACAUAAUGUGUCAAGUCUCAAAACAAAACUACAUAAGUCUCAUUACACAACAUGGAAAGAAAUGAUAACAUAUGACAGAAACGAAGUCGAACGGUACGGUCUCUGGUNNNNNNNNNNNNNNNNNNNNNNNNNNNNNNNNNNNNNNNNNNNNNNNNNNNNNNNNNNNNNNNNNNNNNNNNNNNNNNNUAACACUGCAUCUGAGAUGCUCCACCACCUCUAGGUACUCAGCAUCAGACUCGUACUCCUGUCUCAUCGUCCCAACAAGGUAUGGAUGCAUAUGAUCCAACACCCUGUAAGCUAGCUGCAAAGUAGAAAAGGAAACAAGUUAGCUAUCGGUAUCUGACUCUGACCUAAACCCUAAACCAAAACCAAACGAAGGAAUAAUUACCAUAUCUGUCGGCGCCGGAACACCAGUAGUGAUGAGCCUGAGGAUGCGCGGGUGGGUGUGGCAGUAAUCGCACGCUCAGGGGUUUCGUAGAUCUUCUGUUUUUUCUUCUUCUUAUCUGCUUCUCUCCUAUUAGAAGCAGUAAUCGCACGCUCGACAAGUCGGUUUAUAAUUUCCAAUGACUUGCCCUUCCCUCGCAUUUUCUGAAUUCCAUCAGUCUCUUCUUCGACAGGGUCGGUGCUAUGCUGCUUACCGCCGCCUGGUGUCUUUACCAUUUUUAUUCAGAAACUAUAAUAAACGAAAUUAUCUAAUUAAUCACAUACUUAUAAAAAAUCUAAUCAAUUAAAUUAAUACUAAUUAUCAGAAUUCAUCUAAACCCUAAAUCCUAAAUUCAUCUAAACCCUAAACUAAUUCAUAAAUCGUUAAAACCCUAAACCCUAAACCUAAAAUCCUAAAUUCAUCUAAACCCUAAACCCUAAACUAUAUUCAUCUAAACCCUAAAUUAAAUUCAUCUAAACCCUAAACCCUAAACUAAAUUCAUCUAAACUCUAAACCCUAAAUUAAUUUAAAAUUCAUUACAACCCUAAACCCUAAACAGAAUUUAUCUAAACCCUAAACUCUAAACUAAUUCAAAAUGAAUCUAAACCCUUUACAAUUAAAUAAUUUAAAUAAUGAAGCAGGGCAUAGCAGAAGCAAAAUUCACACACAGAAAAAAAAGCAAAAUGAAGCGUUAUUUUAAUUUACCACCAUAUCUACAGUACAGAAGAAAAAAUAAAUAAAAGCAGAAAAAGUACCCCACAGGCUACGGUGGCGUGACUCCGUCUCUGGCUCUGCGGGCGGCACCUUCUGUGGCGUUUUCUUCCCCUAGCUUUGCACCUUAGCUCAUCCUUCUACCUACUCUAAGCUCUACCUCCCCCGGUUCGUUGGUUUGGAGUGCCAGCUGUCUGAUUCCGGCGACUACCCGGCCAUGACGUCAAUCACUUCCGUCGAACUGAACUACCUCGUUUUCCGGUAUCUUCAAGAGUCAGGUAAGGCGAGAUUUCCCCUUUCAUUGUUCCAUUUUCAAAUGAACUUAGUUAGAACUCCUACCUUCUGCUGCUCACUUCUCAUCUUUGUACGAAUAGAAUUAGGGUUCUAGUUUCGAGACGGGGGCUUUUGAGCCGUCGGUUACUGGACAUUUUCAAUUAGUAAUUGGAGAUUCCUGCAAGAGAGACUGUUUAAUUUCCUGUUCGCUGGAUCAAGGAAGCAUGCACAACCUGCAGACUGUUAAAACUUCGUAGUUCUUCCAUCAGUUUGGUGGUUUUGCGCUAGAACCUUUUGGGAUAUUUGGUUUUGGUUCUUUUUUCCAAUGUCUGUUUUCAUUUCCUUAAUUCUAAUGUCUGUUUAAGUGUUCGUUCUUUUUUCGUGCUCAGAAGUAAAAAAGGCUUGCAAUAGUCAUACAGGGCUAUGGAUUGUUUCUGGUGCAUGAACUUUGAAUUUAGGAUAAUAUGUCACUGUAGUUAGACGAGUCUGACCUAGUGACGGCUGGCUAUAUUUAUUUUCAUACAACCAUGAAAGUUUUUUCCCUCUUGCUCACCAGCAUAAGUUGGUUUGGAUUUCCAUGUGUCCUUUGACAACAUCGGAAAUUAUAAUUGAAAGCUAAAUGAGUUACAUUUAUGCGUUGCCUUUUUCCGUGGAUAAGAGGUUUCUCAGAUCAGAGGUGUUAAUGAAAUACGGCUUACCUUUUGCUUACUUGAAACAUGCAGGUUUCACGCAUUCUGCAUUUGCUUUAGGUUACGAGGCAGGUAUUAAUAAAUGCACUAUAGACGGCAAUAUGGUUCCUCCUGGUUCUCUUAUAACAUUCGUUCAAAAGGGACUUCAGUACUUGGAGAUGGAAGCAAACUUGAGCCAUGUUAGCAUGCUUAAAUCCUUUUCUACUUAAAGAAUGUGUAUUUUUCAUUCCAUUUACAUUUGAAUAUCACUGAUCUAGUCUUAUUUUAAGCUUGCAGAGUGAUGCUGAUGUUGAGGAAGACUUUUCAUUGCUGCAACCAUUGGAACUUAUCACAAAAGAUGUAUGUGAGUUGCGGCAGAUGAUAAAAGAGAGGAAAAAAAGUUUGCAAAAGGAAAGAGAUAAGGAGAAAGAGAAAGAGAAAGAGAAGGACAAAGAGAAGGAUAAAGAGAAAGAGAAAGAAAAAGAUCGAGAAAGAGACAAGGAGAUUGAGAAGGACCAUGAAAGAGAACGUGCAUGCAUAAGAGAGAAGGAAAGACAAGAACGGGAAAAAGAGGCCGGAAAGGACAGAGAAAGGAUAGAGACGGAGAAGGAGCGAGAAAAAAUACAUGGAGACACAACAGAGAGAGGGAUGAUUCCUGACCUCGAGGAGAAGACUAUUGUCAAACAUGGUGAAAAUGGAACUUCUGGAGGUAGCUAACCGUUUAUAUCUUGUGAUGUGCUCUGUUGUUCCUUAAUCCUGUUUCGCUUGUGCAAUGAAUUUUAUAGGUAUAACCACGAGUAAUUCAUGUCAGAAGGAUAUUCAUCUACUUCCUUCUAGUGUUUAGUAUACAAAAAUGAUAGCUAGGUGAAUGUGUAAACAGAAAAAUGUUUGCUUCUGGAGUCUAAGAGCAUUAAAAAAAUCCUUCCUUGCUUUAGUUGUAAGAUGGUGAGUUCCAGGGAAAAAAUAUUCUGAUUUCUGCUUCUAUCCAUUUGUUUAUGUCCUUAUAUCUCUAGCUUCUUCUUUUUGCAAAUUGUUCUUUGUUACUCAUUUCCUCAUUUGUUAUGUUCGAAUAGGGGUUGAACCAAUGGAUAUUUGUACUACAUCAACAUCACAGGCUUGUGAAAUUAAUAGUUCUGAUGUGAUGAUUUUAGAAGGCCAUACUUCUGAGGUUAGUAUCUUUUGAUAGUGUCAUGGGAUUUGAUUUUCCAUCUUCACUUUUUUAGGUAUGUCUGUUUAACAUAUUUUUAUUUCCUUCUUUUGUAUUAGGUUUGCGCCUGUGCGUGGAGUCCUACUGGAUCAAUUCUUGCAUCCGGGUUGGUAUUCUAUUCAACCAUCUAUUUUACAAGUCGACUUCCUGCAUGAAUCUCAAAGAAUGAUGUGGUCUUCCCAUGUGGAUUUUAAACUUCAUAAUGCUUUGUAUUUAUGGAUUUCUUACAUGUGCAUUCCAUCCGUUAGACUUGCCUGGUGGUGGUUUCUGUGAAGCAAUUUCAGCUUGCUAUCUUAUUAAUAGGUCUGGAGAUUCCACUGCACGUAUAUGGACCAUUGCAGAGGGUACGUCUAAAUCUGGUAAUGGUCCGCUAAGUGUAUUGGUGCUGAAGCAUGUAAAGGGAAAAACUAAUGAGAAGAGUAAAGAUGUAACUACGCUUGAUUGGAAUGUAAGUCGUCUUACAGGCCUUAACAAUAAACAUUGUAAUUAGAGUGUGUAUGUUCUUUAGGUUUUCGCGGAUAUUAAGGUUUGAUCCAGUUCUUGUGUCACGUACCUGUCAAAUGUUUUUCAGAUCCUGCAUAGCUUAUUAUAUUAUUUAAUUUUUUUUCUGCCAGAGUUUCAAAGUUUUUACCUCGUGUAUCUUUCUGGACGUGUGGUCCCUCUAUGUUCUCCAGUCCCAGUGGAUAUAUGCCAAUACCAAGUAGUUUUUAUUUUCUCGUACGGGAAAUUGAUUUUUGUCUUUCUGCUUGCAGGGUGAGGGAACGUUACUUGCAACUGGUUCAUAUGAUGGGCAAGCCAGAAUAUGGAGCACGGACGGUAAGGUGGCUAGCUUCUGUUCUGUAUCAACGAUGAGGCCACAGUAGCACCAGAAUCGAUAACUUGCUAAAUCCCUGCUCUGUGUGAUGCUAAUGCUUAUAACUUCAUAUGGAAAAAUGAAACACCCUAAUCUUUUCUAACAGUAUAUUACAAAACUGCCCCAAGGCGGACAAAUGACUCAAUAAUAUUAGUCAAAGUUCAAAGUUAUCAAACAACCAAAGCAGUCUCAAGUCCAACUCCAAGGGAAACAUAGAAUUCUCUGCGUCACCAAUCACUCUUCACACUCUUAGUUUUGGGCCAUUCAAGCUGCCUGUCUCUCUGGCUCGUGAUGCAUGACUCGGCUCCCUUCAAUUUUCAGUAUCUUAAAUAAAAAAUUAAGUUGUUUGACGCAGGUUCAAUUUAGAAGCGUUGAAAUUUUAAGCAACGUCUUAACUGGAUUUUCAGGAGCUCAAAGUUAGUUGGUUCUCAAUUCUCAUGUAAUUUAUCCUUUCGGCUUAGUCGAUGUAGGUGUAUGAUAAUUAACUUUUUACUUGAGAGUAUUACUUUUAGCUGUGACAGUGCACUUUGACUCCACUUAUAAAUGUGAUUCUCACUAUCGUUCUUAUUAUUGGAUUCAGGUGAUCUGAAAAGUACUCUGUCCAAACAUAAGGGACCUAUUUUUUCUCUGAAGUGGAACAAGAAGGGAGAUUUUCUUCUGACUGGGAGCUGCGACAAAACUGCAAUAGUGUGGGAUGUAAAAGCAGAGGAAUGGCGUCAACAGUUUGAGUUCCAUGCAGGUACUCAUCGUCCCAACUCUCUUCCACAUUUGAUGUACUAUUUAUUGUUACUAUGUGAAACCCUCUUUGUUUUUGGGGAUGGACAUAUUAGGUCCCAUACUUGAUGUUGAUUGGCGCAACAAUGUUUCAUUUGCCACAAGUUCCACGGAUAAUAUGAUAUAUGUUUGCAAAGUUGGUGAGACACGGCCCAUCAAGACAUUUUCUGGCCAUCAGGUUUGUCUUGUAACUGAAUUUGUGUCAUUGGGUUUUCUUAUAAAUUAGGAAAAAACGGUUUAUGUGAAAAUUGAUUGUAGUCUGGAAUACAGUGUGGCACAAUUGCACAAGUGUUUAUUAUAUAAUAAUCUAGGAAAAGAUAAAAAUGGAAGAAAUAGUUAAACUUGUAGCACAGUUCUGUAAUUGAUAAUGUUCGACUCCAUGUCUGGGUACGCACCACACUUGUUGCUUUUGCUGUCAAAUUUUCGCUGUAGUACCACCUUUUUACAUCUAAUGGUGAGAGCCUUGGAACUUACAGUUUAGUGUGUUUGAUUACAAUGUGCAUCGUGUCAAUUUCUCGUGUUCCUGGCAUCUUCUGGCAUGCGUGCUCUGAUGGUGCACGUCUGUCCUUUUCAAUUCAGAUUAAAUUAUUAAUUUUAUUAAUAUGCCUGAACUUGCUCUCUGCCUACUUGAAAUUUUUGUUCUUUAUGAUGGCCGGGUGUGUAUUAUGUAAUGCCUAUGAAUGAUAUUUUCAAGGUUUACAGGAAAAUGGGUGUAGUUUCACUGGCAACAUAUAGUCCUAAUAGCAGAUGCUUUUGUUGUCUGACUUCAGGGGGAGGUUAAUUGUGUUAAAUGGGAUCCAGCGGGCCAACUACUGGCAUCCUGCUCUGAUGACAUCAGUGCUAAGGUUAUAUUUUAUUUUAUUCUUAUUGUUGGGCAUUUUUGCUAUUUGGACUUGUAGGAAUAACUCUAAUCAUUCCUAAUUAGUAGACUCAAUAGGAGAUAUAUUUAGUUAUUUGUGUAGGAAAAAACUUCCUUAUGUAAGACUCUUAUUUAUGGUAGGAGUCCUUUUCUUAUUUAUGGUAAGAGUCCUUUGCUUCUAGGGUGUAUAUACCCAUCGCCUUUUCUUAUCUCCUGUCUCUUUAUUUACCUCUAUUCUAAAUAUAGUAUCAGAGCCUCUCUGUGGUAUUCUCUUCCGCUUACUCUAAACCCUAAUCAUUCACCAUGACCAAGAACACGGUUGAUAGCAUCGUGACUUCUGACGACGAUAGCAGCUCCAAUAAUUCUGGAGUCAUGUCGAUCCCACCAAGUUCAUUUGAUAAUUCCUAUCCUGGACGAGUUAUGAUUUAUCCUCUUGAUGGUAAAAAUUACCUCCACUGGUCUUCUUCCGUCCGCAUCUACAUCAGCGGCUGUGGUAAAGCUGGUUAUCUUCUUGGAACAGCGAAGAAACCAUUUGAAAUUGAUCAGAAGUUUGAGCAGUGGGACAAUGAAGAUCACCUUGUUCGCAGCUGGCUUAUUUCCACCAUGAUACCGAAGAUAGGCGAAAUCUAUCUUCUUCAUCUGUCGGCCAAGUCUAUUUGGACCAUCCAAAAAAGACUUAUUCGACGAUGGACCACUCCUCUGCAUUGUUAGAGAUCGAAAUUAAACUGUAUGAUCUCAAAUAGGGAAGCAUGGGUGUGAAGGACUACUAUAAUUUUGGAAAAAAUACUAAAGAGCUCAAGGUAACUCUCUUACCAAUCACUCUAAAUCUCCUCAUCAAUAUACUUGGAUUCUAGACUCUGGUGCUUCAGACACAAUGACUGGUUGUCGAGAAUUAAUCCAUGAUCUUCAACCUUAUCCUCGGAAAGGAGGGGUUUGUGUAGUCAAUGGGGGAAUUGCCCCAGUUACAGGUAUAGGUUAUAUUCGGCUACCUGACAACCUUAUCAUCUCUCCAGUACUAUAUGUCCCUCAAUUAAGCUGCAAUCAUAUUUCUGUCCGGUAGUUGACCUCAGAUUUCAAUUGUGAGGUUAGAUUCUUCCCUUUUGGUUGCCACUUGCCGGAAGUGGGAUCGGGGAAGACGAUUGGAGUUGUUGAACUAUCAAAAGGACUAUAUAUCUUCAAGGAUGGUUUGGACAAGGACAUUCAGAAGUCAGCACAUCAAAUUUCUAAAAUAAAUGAUUGUAGUGAUUAUGUUUAUCUUUGGUACUAUAGACUUGGACAUCCAAGUUUUAUGUACCUUUCACACUUCUUUCCUACAUUAUUUCGUAAUACACGGGCUUAAUUUUACAAGUGCGAAGUGUGUGAAUUGGCUAUGCAUACUGGCUCCACAUAUCCUGUAAUAGGUUAUCGACCCUCUCAACGCUUCUCAAUGAUUCACAAUGAUAUUUGGGGCCAUAUGAAAGUCAAGAAUCUAAAUGGAGCUCAAUGGUUUGUCACGUUUAUUGAUGAUCAUUCUCGGCACACUUGGACUUAAUGAAGGCCAAAUCGGAGACUAGUUCCAUAUUUCAAUACUUCUAUUACAUGGUGCAAACCCGGUUCAAUGCCAAGAUUCAAAUAUUGAAAACUGACAAUGCUAAGGACUACGUCAACACCGUUCUUGGUCAGUUCCUUGCCAAAUAUGGGGUGGUGCAUCUAAGCUCGUGUGUUGAAACUCCUCAGCAACAUGGGAUUGUCGAACGUAAAAAUAGACACCUUCUGGAUGUUGCUCGUGUCUGCAUGUUUGCUAGGCAGGUUCCAAAAUAUUUAUAGGGAGAAGUAGUCUUGACGGCCACUUACUUGAUCAAUAGGAUGCCUAGCAAAGUUCUUGAUUUCAUUCGUCCUCGGCAAAUUCUUCUUGACCGUUAUCCUCAAAUGGCCAGUUUAUCUUCAAAUCUUCCACCCCGGAUAUUUGAUUGCACUGCCUUUGUUCACAUUAACCCGAACCAUCGUAGCAAGUUUGAUCCGAGAGCUCACAAGUGUGUCUUUAUUGGGUAUUCUCCUCACCAAAAAGGCUACAAGUGCUAUUCUCUCAUUACUCGACAAACGUACAAUACUCGUGACGUUACCUUCUUUGAAACCCAAUAUUUCUUUCACCACACUGAGUUCGAUGGGAAGACUACUUACUAGUGACUCUCAAACUCCUUUGUGGGAUUCAUACCAUUAGAGGAUAAUACUACCGUUCAUUCUACUGAAAACACCAUUAAUACAACUCCAAAGUCUAGUAUUACUGCUGCUCCUAAACCAAAUGAUACUCCUACUGUUUCUGAAUCAGUUGCCUCUGGCUCUUCCAAAUCCAUUGAGGCUACGUCUGAACAACAUUCUGAUAAUCAUCAACCUGAAUUACUUGUUUACACUCGUAGGCCGAUGAUUGAUAAUCUUGCUUAUGAACCGAAGGAAACUGGAGAGCCCGAUGCUGUUAUUCCAAAAGUUUCAAUCCCUAGGUUUGAUACUGAUCUAGAUAUACCCAUUGCUAUUCGUAAAGGUGUCCGAAGUUGUACUGAACAUCCAAUUGGAAACCCCAUUUCUUAUGAGGAGUUGAGUCCUGAGAAUAGAGCGUUUAACACUUCUCUCGAUGAGGUUGAUGUCCCUAAAAAUAUCAAAGAAGCCUUACUUGAUCCAAGAUGGGAGAAGGCAGUCGGAGAAGAAUUAAGUGCCCUCAAGGAAAAUCACAUUUGGGACUUAGUUAGUCUUCCUCCCAACACAGAUGCAUAGUUGACUAUCGAUGGGUGUUUACCAUCAAAUAUAAAGCGGAUGGAUCGAUUGAAUGAUUCAAAGCUCGUUUGGUGGCCAGGGGGUUCACACAGACUCAUGGCAUUGAUUAUGAAGAAGCCCUUAGACCAGUUGCAAAGCUUAAUACUAUUCGAGUUCUUCAUAGUCUAGCUACCAACCUAGAUUGCGCUCUUAAUCAGCUUGAGGUAAAGAAUGCUUUUCUCAAUGGAGAAUUGCUUGAAGAAGUUUACAUGAAUCCUCCUCCUGGGUUUCCUUCGGAUGGAAGAGAGUGUAAAUUGAACGAUUUGCUAAAGCUGUCAAGUCGGCAGGAUACACUCAAUGCCAAUCGGACCAUACAAUGUUCGUAAGGCCCUCAGAUACAAGGAAGAUUGUUGUCCUGAUAGUGUAUGUGGACGAUAUCAUCAACACUGGGAAUGGCCCGCACGAGAUAAAUCAGUUAAAGCAGAGACUUGCAUUAGAAUUUGAGCUCAAGGACUUGGGAAAUCUAAGGUACUUCUUGGACAUGGCGGUUGCUUGCUCUGAAAAGGGUAUUGUUCUCUCUUAGAGGAAAUAUGUUCUUGAUUUGUUGAAGGAAACAAGAACGCUGAAUUGCAAACCCCAUGAGCACUCCGAUAGAACCGAAAAUAAAUUCAGCGAAAUGAAGGAAUUGCUACAGUUGACAAAGGGUUUUAUCAACGUUUAGUAGGUAAGCUCAUUUAUCUGGCUCAUACUCGUCCAGAUAUAUCAUACUCAGUUGGGAUUGCAAGUCAACAUAUGCAUAAUCCCAACGAGGAACACUUAGAGAUGGUUUACCGGAUUCUGAAGUAUCUAAAGUUUACCCCUGGACAUGGCCUAUUCUUCAAAAAGCAUGAUCACAGAGGCGUCACUAUAUACACUGAUUUUAGUUGGGCAAGUGACUUGACAGAACGAAGAUCAACUACUGGACAUGAGACCUAUGUAUGGGGAAUCUUGUGACACGGAGAAGCAAGAAACAGGACGUAGUGUCCCUCAACAGUGCAGAAGCUGAGUAUCGUGCAUUGACUUCUGAAAUUAAAGAGGGUAUGUGGUUGCAUCAGGUUCUUGGUGAAUUACAGAUGCCUCCUUAGACACCUAUACAUGUUCUUUAUGAUAGUAAAUCUACGAUUAGCAUCGUCUGAAAUCCAGUUCAUCAUGACAGAAUGACAGAACUAAACAUGUUGAACUGGAUCGUCAAUUCAUCUUAGAGAAGGUUACAAAUGGAGUUAUAAAUCUGGAUUAUUUUCCAACAAGUCAACAACUCGUUGAUAUUUUCACCAAAUCAUUGUCAAGGUCUACCUUAGAAGAAUUAAUACACAAGCUGGGGAUGUUCAACAUUUACACCACACAGUUUGAGGAGUGUAGGAAUAACCCUAAUUAUUCCUAAUUAGGUAGACAGAAUAGGAGAUAUAUUUAGUUACUUGUGUAGGAAGAAACUUCCUUAUGUAAGACUUCUACUUAUUUUUCCUACUUAUGGUAGGAGUCCUUUGCUUCUAGGGUAUAUAUACACAUCAGCUGUUAGCCUAUCUAAUAACAAGAAUCAAUAAUUCUCUUUCUAUUUCUUCCGUCUCUUUAUUUACCUCUAUUCUAAACAGGACUGCAAACUCUGACCUUAGCUGUCAUCCCUUGCAUUCAUGUUUGAAAGGUUUUAUGUUCCAUUGCAUAUUGUUUGUUCAGUCAGUACUUGAAACUUUAAGAAAAAUGAUGCAGAUAUGGAGUAUGAAGCAAGAAAAGUAUGUUUAUGAUCUGAGGGAGCACACGAAGGUGGUUCUGAAAUUUCAUAUUUCAUAGUAAGUUAUUGAGUUGAUGGAUUAUCCUUCCAACUGUAUUGUUUGUUAAUGUGAGUUUUGCACAUGUAAAUCCCAAAUAAAAGUUGCAAAACGUAGUGUGGUGUAUACAUUAUUAAAGCAAUGUAGUAAUUGUUGCUGCUGCUAAUACGAGUGUUUUGAAGGGAUCCUGUAUAUUCCGUGGCAUUCAGCCCCAACGGGGAGUAUCUGGCAAGUGGUUCUCUUGACAGAUGCAUAAACAUCUGGUCAUUGAAUGAUGGAAAGAUAGUGAAGAAAUACACAGGCAACGGAGGCAUCUUUGAAGUUUCUUGGAACAAAGAAGGCGACAAAAUAGCUGCUUGUUUUGCCAAUAAUACCGUCUGCGUUUUAGAUUUCAGAAUGUGAGUGAGUAGGCUGGCUGGCUCAACUAUCUCAGGGAUCAUUCUGUUCAGUUCACUGUAUGGCUCUAUAGUUAACCAAAACUUUCAUAGUGUUUCUAGCUUGUAGUGCACACCUAACAGUUGUAAGUAAAGCUAAUAGUUGUCUUCAAUUGUGAGUAAUGUCAUCUGUACAAUGCUUUUUAUAAUAUUGUAUGCUUCAAAGUGUUAGUUUACAUAAGAACAGCGAACGGAACGAGGUAGCAUCUUAUACAAUGUAUAGAAAGUAUCGUCAUGUAAACUCACUGCUUCUCAAAGUAUCUUAGCAGCAUUGGCGAUAAUGUGGAAUCCUGAGUUACCAGUAAUCCCUGCAAGAACAUGACCCAUCCUGAAAAUGGUGGAAACGAUUACGAUCUCUCAUAACAAUCUUUCGUCCAGUUAUCUUAGAGAUCAACUUUGUAACAGUGUGGCAAUCUCGACAUACCCUCAGGUUCUUCACAAUCCGUAUUGUAGUCCCAGGUUUAGUACUGAUCAGCCCAAAGGCUGUAGCGAGUCUUUCACUGUGAGCUCCGAGUGACUGCCCCUUCUCUGCUUCCUCUAAAUCGUGCAAUACAGUGUCCAUUCUAGGGUUAUGCCCAUGAGCUUUAGCCCAUUUAUUCAUUUCUUCUACCAUAUUAUGAAUGUCUCUGCUCUUCGGAUGCCUCCAGUCCCCAGCAACGAACUCGUGCACUUUAUUCUUCACUUCUAUCGAGCUGCAACCAUGCUCUUUCUCUACUCCUUUUUCUCUCAUCAAUUUCCUCACCCCGGCUAAUCCUUCCCAGUCGUUUGCCUCGGCGUACAUGUUGGACAUAAGCACAUAUGUACCAGGAUUCGCAAGAUUCUGGUUGAUCAUAAAACGGGCAAUCUCCUCGCCUAAAGCAACAUUACCGUGAAUUCUACAAGCACCCAACAGAGCUCCCCAUAAGAUAACGUCUUGUUCUAUUUCCAUGUUCUUGACGAGCUCGUAAGCUUCUUCUAGAUGGCCGGCACGACCAAGGAGGUUUACCAUGCACCCGUAAUGCUCGAUCCUUGGCUCAAUACCGUAUUUUUCUGCCAUGGAAUAGAAAACUUCCCGUCCUUCGCGAACCAAACCGGCAUGAGUGCAAGCAUUCAGCACGCCAAUGAAAGUUAUAUAGGUUGGUUUGUACCCUAGCCUGCACAUCUCAUCAAACAAAUGCAAUGCAUCCUUGCUAAACCCGUGCAUUGAAUACCCCACUAUCAUUGAAUUCCAGGCAACUACAUCCUUGUAAGUAGUCCUCUCGAAAACCUGCCUAGCUUCCUCCAAGCUCCCACAUUUACUGUACAUGUCAAUCAAGGAAGUGGCGACCCGGACAUUAAUAUCGAUCCCAUGAUUCUCAGCGUACCAGUGAACCCAUCUCCCUGACUCCAGAGCCCCAAUUUGAGAACAGGCAGAUAGAACAGAGACCAUGGAUGAUUCGUUUGGUCUCACCUUUGCCCUUAGCAUCUGCCUAAAGAGUAACAAACUCUCGUAUGGCGAUCCAUAUUGAACAUACCCAUCAAUCAUCACAUUCCAACACACAACAUCCUUUUCCUUCAACCCAUUAAAAAACACUCUCGCCUCCCUAAGCAUUCUAAACUUAGCAUAACAGGUAAUCAUCGCCGUCAUAGAAACCAAAUUCCUCUCAGGCAUAGAAUCAAACAGCUUGCGUGCAGACUCGAUAUCUUCUCCUUCGGCAUAAACGUCCAUCAAGCAAGUCCUCACGUACGUAUCUGAUUCCAGACCAAGUUUCACCGCUUGACCAUGCAAUGCCUUCCCUGGUUCAAGACGGCAAGACUUCAAAAUCGACGAGAAAGUGAAAGCAUUUGGUGCGACGUUCUGGGUCAGCAUUUCGACAUACAACAUGAGCGCCUCUUUGUGGAGGUUGUGGAGGGAAUGUGAAUGGAUGAUUGAACUGAAAAAGAAGACAUCGGGAUUCCGGUUCUGACGGAAAAUCGAAAGCGAGUGGUCAAGGCGGCCGGUGCCGGAGUAGGACCUCUGCAGCUUGAAGGAGAGGAUUGAGUGGUUGCUCAAGUUAUGGCGAUACAGGAAGGCGUGGAUUUGGAAGAGCUGGUUCACGGAUUUGCAUUUGUCAAUCAGUGCUGCAAGUCUUUCCGGGGCUGGACCCUUGACGGUGGAGGGUGGAAGGCUGGCGAUAUUAGCAAGCGAAUUAGUGGGGAAUAGUGCGACGGAGGACAUGGCUGAGGCUCACAACGAGCUGCUAAGAAAAGUGAGAGUGGUUCCUUCGAGUUAUGGAUGUUGUUCGAUAUUGUUCCGGGUAAAAGGCAUAAAAGGUACCAUAGGUACGUUUAAAUAAUGUCUGGGUACAAAUGUAUCAAAAUUUAUCACAUAAGUACUCUUUUUUUUCUUCCUCCGUCCAAUUCCACAAGUUAAUAGACCACAUAAACACUCUAUGUCAAAAGAAGACGCAAUCAUCAGAAGUGUCUUAUAGUUUUCCACUCGUUUGAGAGCUAGGGUUUUCCUUUUACCGGAGAGCUUUAUCUUUUUUCUUCGUCGUCAACAUGCACAUCAUGUGCUGGAAUUGUGAGGACUGGGGCAACCAACGGCUUUGCAGUUCGUCGAUGACCUCGUCAAAACCUACUUCGUAGAUUUUCUAGUCCUAAUCGAUACCCUAGCUACAACAGAACGUAAGGAAACACUAAGGACCAAAAUUGGUUUUGAGCGUUGCCUUGCGGUCGAGGUGAUUGGACACAACAGACGGAGGCUUUGCCUUCCUCUGGCGCACAACUACCAAGCAGUUCUACAAAAUUAUGACCAAAACUCGAUAACCUUUUGAGUAGAUGACGGCACGGGUACCAAGUUGAGACUCACGAGAUUUUAUGGCUUCCCGAAAUGAACAAGAAGACAAGAAUCAUGGGACCUUCUCCGAGCUCUCAGCACCAUGGUCACUACAAGAAAAAAAAUUUGGCAGGGGUUUAAAAGUCAGUUAACAACGCUUAAAACCCCUGCUAAUCGAAUUAACAACGGGUUGACUUCUGUUGUUAAACCAAGUAAUGGUAAACGAAUUAACGGCACUUUUUAUAUUUGCCCUUAAACCAUGAUUAACAAUGCUUUUAAACCAAUGGCAAACUAGGUCCAGUUCAACAGUGGUUUUACCCCUUGUUAAACGGUGGCCAAUUUAACAGUGGUUCCCAACUCCCGUUAAACGGGAUAGUGAUUUUGAGUAACGAAAUUCUAGUUCCAGUUUCCAGAAUAUUAAAAUUUUCAAUUUUCUAGUUUCCGACCCUUGUUGUUUUAGUCUCAAAAUUCGUAUAAAACUCGAAUAUAGUACAAUUUUGCAUUCAUUCAAACUUGACAUUUUAAUUCAAUAAUACAAGUCAUUAAUAAAAGUUCCAAUAAACACAACAGUAAUCAAACAUUUUAUCUAGUAUACUCCUAAGUUCCUUCCUAAAUUCCUUCUUUUCUACUUGGUGACUGAGCAGUGAAGAUUUGUCAUCACAUGGUGGUGCUCCGCAACAAAUAUGAAACCAUUCUGAUCCUUGUCGAGCACCCUGAAUGCCUCCUUCAGCUCCUCUUCUGAGUCGGUGUCCUUCAUUUUACUGGCCCAUAAACGCAUAACUAUUCCCAGCUCCUUGGUGGUGAUGCAACCUGCUGUCAAAAUCACCAUUAAAACCCAAUCAUUCCAUCACAAAAUCACCACAUGAAUGUCAUCACUGCAAUCACAUACUCAAUCAUCUUUACACACAAAAGCAACCAUGGAUACCAUCCACCAAUAUAUACAGAAAUUAUACAACCCAUCAGCAACACCUCUGUAUAAAAUCAUUCAUAGAAACAUAAGAUGAAAGUGUUGGUCAUUAAACUAGUUGUUUGCUUAUAACUAGAUUAGAAGACAGUGAGUCCUUUAUGUGAAGAAUGCCAUACAUGUUAGGAACAAAUUCAUGGUGGUGUCUCGUAAUAUUGUGUUAUGAAAGAUAAACCGAGUCUUCAGAAAGAGCUAAGACGAAUAUAAACACACUCAAGGCAGUCAAUGAAUCCAUUUCGUUAUCAAAUCAUAUGACAUUCAACAUUGGAUUCAAAGGUAGUAAGCAUCUAGGGUCGGAAAUGAUCGAAGUAGUACCUGGGCAAGUUUGCUUUACUCGUGAGAUGCAGAUCCCCAACUUUUCCUUUCUCGAUUGAAACCAAUAGCUCUUAGCUCGAUUAAUUCGUUCUCGUAACUGUCAUUUCACCCUCAGUCCAAGACCAUAAACGUAACUAGAUUAAGAAUACAUUAUUGGAAGGUAAAUCAAAAGAGGACGAUCCUAGGUAGAAACUUACAUGCGUUGACCACUCCAUGCCUAGUUAGGUUUCCUCCUCUGCGACCAGAAAGAGAGGUAAGAGUUAGAAGGGGAUGCAAAAAAAUAGAUCCUGAUAGGGAUCGAGAGGAAAGGAGAACAUAGAAUACUCUAUCUUGCUCGUUUUGCAGGAGGCUGGACCAUCAAGAACCAUGAGCAUCGUAGGGAUUAUUGCACACCUGAAAGAAGAAUCAUAACGCUGAUUGCCGAAAAGGAGAUAGAACCAGAUAAGGAGAUAUCAGCCGAUAUAAUCAGUCCUCCGCUAGGUGACAAUGGAUGAAUGCGCUGGCAUGUGAGUCACCAUAUAGGGAAUUGAGCUUCUACAGAGUUAGUUAGUGAUUAUUGGAUUGUAGUUAGUAGUUUUAUGUUUUUGCCAUUUUCCCCUGUAUAUACUUGUGCUCUUGCACCAUUAAUGAAGCCAGAAAUUUCUCCUCCAUUUCUGCUACUCUUCUCUCCCGUUCGCUCAUCCCACUUCACAUGGUAUCAGAGCGGUAAGCUAAUCCAUCUCCUUGGAUUAUCGUCAUGGUCGACGAUAAGGUCGAAGGGACAGAAGAGUCUUCCGGCGUCAAGGCAAAUCCACAGUCUAAGAAACCUGGCCAUUACUACAUCAACCCAAAUGAGAACUUUGCUCAGGCAAUCACUGCAGUGAAGCUCGGUGGGACAAAUUACCAUCUCUGGAGCCGAUCUAUGCGCCUUGCCUUGAAGACCAAGAAGAAACUAGGAUUCAUCAAUGGGGAACUUCCGAUGCCGGAAGCCGAUGACGUUGACUUCGACGCUUGGGACCAGAGCAACAACACCGUUGUCACCUGGAUCAUCAAUUCCCUCGAUAAAGAGAUCUCUGAGGUCGUCAUCAACAACGACAGCGCCCUAGAACUAUGGAAGGAAUUGCAAGCAAAGUACGGUGAGUUGGACUCCGUCCGCAUCGCUCAGUUUUGAGCUGAAAUCUCAGCCUGUCGCCAAGGUACCUCCACUGUUACUGAAUAUUACAAUCGAUUGAAGAACUUAUGGACUGAGUAUGUCUCGUUCCGCCCUAUCCCCGCUUGCGAAUGUGGAGGAUCUAAUCACACUGGGACUUGUAAUACCUAUGCUGCUGUGAAAAGCCACCAGGAGAAUGACCAUGUGAUUGAUUUCAUCAUUGGAUUGAAUGAUGAACACGAGAAUACCAAAAGUCAGCUGCUUUUGAUGGAUCCACCUCCUUCGUUGAAACUCGCCUCCAAAUAUGCCAUGAAACUCGAGCGAAAACUGAUGGGAGGAGUCACUAAGGAGGCUAAGGGCGUUGAAUCCAUUGCGCUUGCUGGUGCUCAAACAAGGGAAUGGAACCGCGGCAAGGGAGCCAAAUCGAACACCACUCCUGGAGGCUCACCUAACACCAACCUAUUCUGCCGAUACUACAAGUACACCAAUCACAACAUUGAGGACUGCAUCAGGUUAAAGAACAAAAGGCGAAAUGAAAGCUCUGGAAACAAUGGUGGAGGGCACUAGUGCAAAUGGAGCUCUUGGUAAUAACUCUGAUUCCGCUGCUCAGAAGCGUAAUUCUGACGGUCCAUUGCGGUUUUCAACUGUAGACUGCAGUUGUCUCAUCGCACUCCUCCAACAGAAUUCGACAACAACUUCCUCAUCACCCAACGUCACUCACCAAGCUAACCUCAGCUCAACCAGUACUACAUCACAUUCCAUGCCCAUCCAUCCAAACUUUGUUGGUACGGUAAACCUCUCUACCGCUAAUCUUUCUCAUAAGUAAGCUCUAAUUGGUGCAUGGAUAAUGGAUACUGGUGCAUCGGAUCACAUGUGUGCUUUUCUUGUUUACUGCUUUAUGAUGCCCUGCAUAUCCCUUCUUUCUCUUUCAACCUCAUUUCCAUUAGCAAAUUAACUAAGUCACUUCCUGUAUCUCUUUUGUUUGAAUCCAAUAUGUGUAAAAUUCAGGACCUAGCCACUCAGAAGAUGAUUGGUUCUGCAAACGAGUUUAGGGGUCUUUAUCAACUUUGCUCACCCUCCACCCAACAUGCCUACACUCCCUUUGUCGCCACUUCAUACAGCUUACAACCACAAGACAUCAACCUAUGGCAUUGUCGCCUAGGACACAUAUCAAAUAGUAGGGCUCGUCUAUUAGCAAAGUGUAAUCCUUCUCUUCCCCUUGAGACAAUCGAUCACUGUGCUGAAUGCCAGUUUUCCAGACUCAAGAAACUUUCUUUUUUAUCUAGUAAUACCAUUCGCAGUAAACUUUUUGGUCUAAUACAUACUGAUAUUUGGGGUCCUUUGCGCUUUGCCUCCCACGAUGGUUUUUCUUACUUUUUAACCAUAGUAGAUGACCAUAGUAGAGCAGUCUGGACGUUCCUCAUGAAACACAAGUCUGAAACCAGAUCACUGCUGCAAAGCUUUUGUCUAAUGGUGACCAAACAGGUCAACAACUCUGUCUGCAUUGUGUGCAGUGACCAAGGGAGUGAGUUCCACAUGAAGGACUUCUAUUCCACUAAUGGGAUUGAACAUCAAAUGUCGUGUGUGGAACGACAAGAACAAAAUGGUUGCGUUGAACGCAAACAUCAGGACAUUUUGAACAUCGCUAGAGCCCUCCGUUUCCAAGCUAAUCUCCCCCUAAAAUUCUGGAGUGACUGCGUCUUACACGCUGUGCACCUUCUAAACAGACUCCCUACUCCUCUUCUUUCUAAUAAAACUCCCUAUGAAUGUCUCUACGGUCGUCCCCCUGACUACACUCACCUUAGGGUCUUUGGCAGCCUCUGCUAUGCCGCUACCCUCGAUAGGAACCGCACUAAGUUUGAUUCUCGUGCCCGACAAGGGAUAUAAUUAGGUCUUGUUCUUGGCAUCAAUGGUCAUAAAAUUUACGAUCUCAACUCUCACUCUGUGUUUGUCUCCCGUGAUGUUGUCUUUCAUGAAAGCAUUUUUCCAUUUAAAUUCACGUCUUCUUCAACCAUCCAUGCAUCACCUCAUGAUCCUACUGCACUAGUGCCAUUGAUCCUUGCAGGUACUAAUCCCGAAUUUGUAGCAUCUGGGGAGCCCCCUGGCACAUCUGGUGUAGCACCAUGUGUAGCACCAGAGCUGCUACCUAUUUAGGAUCCACCAUCUCAACAUCACUUGGAUCCAGUAUCUCCCUUAUCCACCACACAUUCACCAACCUUACCAACUACAAGUCCAAGUCCACAACCUUCUAUCCAACCUUCAAUUCCAAAACCAAUGCCACCGCCCACUAGAAUAUCCACUAGGCAAACCAGACCUCCUUCUCACUUAAAAGACUAUGUUGUUGGAAACACCAGAACCUCACAUUAUCCCAUUUCCUCUUUCACCACCCUAGAUAACCUCAGCCACUCCCAAAAACACUUUUCCAUGAUUGUAGCCAAUAUCUGAGAAUCACAAACCUAUGAGGAAGCUGUGAAAGAUGAUCGCUGGAAUAGUGCAAUGAUUGAUGAAUUGCAUGGUCUAGAUGUUAACCUAACAUGGGACGUCGUUGACAUCAAAGAUUGCCCGGAUGGCAUUAAUCCUGUCGACAGUAAAUGGGUCUUUAAACUUAAACUUAAGUCUAAUGGAGACGUUGAGAGAUUUAAGGCUAGGCUUGUGGCAAAGGGGUUCACACAAGUAUACAGAGUUGAUUUCCUGGAUACUUUCUCACCAGUGGUGAAGAUGAACACAGUUAAACUCUUGCUGGCAGUUGCUUCCAUCAAGAACUGGCACCUGGAACAAAUGGACAUCAGUAACGCCUUUCUUCAUGGGGAUUUAGAUGAAGUUGUAUACAUGAAGCUGCCAAAGGGACUUCAUGAUAAGUAUGAUCCCCGAAGCAAGUUGUGUAAGCUAAAGAAGUCUUUAUACGGCUUAAAGCAGGCCGGUCAAAAAUGGUUCGCAAAAUUGACAGAAGCAUUGUUAAGGUAUGAUUUCACUCAAUCCCUCUCAGAUUACUCUCUGUUCACCAAGCCAGAUCCUAGAGGGAAUGUUGUAAUGCUGGUGUACGUUGAUGAUCUCAUCUUGUCGGGCAGUAGCAUGGAAUCAAUUGAUGAGGUGAAGACCUUUCUUGGUAAGGAGUUCAAGGUGAGAAACCUUGGACCACUCAAAUUCUUUCUGGGACUGGAAGUUGCAAGAAGCAAAGCAGGAAUAUCGGUUUGUCAGCACAAGUAUGCCAUAGAAUUGCUUAAUGACACAGGUCACUUUGACUGCAAACCGAUCAAGACACCAGGUGAUAUGAAGACACGUUUAUGCGGAGAUGAAAAUGAACCCUUGGUGGACAUUACUGAUUAUAGGAAGUUGAUUGGAAGGGUGAACUACUUGGUGACAACGAGGCCUGAUAUUGCAUAUUCAGUUCAGUAGCUUUGCCAAUUCCAACAUGAACCCCGCAUCAGUCACUUACAAGCUGCACACCGAGUUCUAAGAUACAUAAAGAACGCUCCAGGUCAAGGGUUGUUCUUCAGUGCCUCGGAUUCCUUAACUAUCAAAGGCUAUAGCGACGCUGACUGGGGAGCGUGUCCAGACACAAGGAAGUCCAUCGCAGGGUACUGCACCUUCCUUGGUAACUCCCUGAUCACAUGGAAGGCGAAGAAACAAAGCGCCGUGUCGAAAUCAUCCUCGGAAGCAGAGUAUAGGUUACUGUCUCAGCUUUCGUGUGAGGUACAAUGGCUUAAACAACUGCUUAAUGAUUUGUUUAUCUCACAUGAAGAUGCAAUCGAUGUGUUUUGUGAUAACAAGUCAACUAUUCACAUGGCGGAAAAUCCAGUUAUUCAUGAACGUACUAAACAUAUCGAGAUAGACUGCCAUGUUAUUAGAGAGAGAGUUCAGAAUGGGUUAAUUGCUCUCAACUAUGUGUGUACAGACAGGAACCUAACGGGUAUCUUCACAAAGGGGCUGAGCUCCAUUGGCUUUCAAUGGAUUCUGUUCAAGCUGGGCGUAUACGACAUAUACUCGCCAGCUUGUGGGGGGCUAUCAACCGAUAUAAUCAGUCCUCCGCUAGGUGACAAUGGAUGAAUGUGCUGGCAUGUGAGUCACCAUAUAGAGAAUUGAGCUUGUACAGAGUUAGUUAGUGAUUGUUGGAUUGUAGUUAGUAGUUUUACGUUUUUGCCAUUUUUCCCUGUAUAUACUUUUGCUCUUGCACCAUUAAUGAAGCCAACAAUUUCUCCUCCAUUUCUGAUGCUCUUCUCUCCCGUUCGCUCAUCCCACUUCACAUGAGAAGUUAUAAAGGGUAGAAGAUUGAGCUCGACCUACCAAUGUUGAGGGCGCGCCCAGUCAUCCACUCAUACGCUUUUGAGUAAGAGAAGACGAAGAAGAACCCAUGGAGUCGCCGGACUUGAGGUGGAAGAGGGAGCCCUGUCUCCUCUAAUCGAUUGGGAUGAUGGUUGAGAUCGAGGGAAGGGGGGGGAGCAAUGAUGGCUACGAGAGAAGGGCGAGGGAGAAACCCCACUACUUUGGGGAUAUUUCAGCCAAUGUUCAGACCGGGUCGGACCUCGGACUGUAGUAGAUCCAGAGUCUGAUUUCCGCGCGGGCUCCAGGUUUGGGCCUUAGACCCUCCUCAUGUCCAGCUUUUCUUAGUUCAAGAAAAACAUUAUCUAGCGGCAGAAGUUUAAAAGAGGUUUAUAAACCCCUAUUAAACACAAAGGAUUUAGCAACGAUUUUAUACCGCUGCCAAUUGACUACAAUUUAACAGGGGUUUAUAAACCCUAGUUAAACUUUUGCUGCUAGAUACUGUAUUCGUUGUAAUGGGUGAUAGAACAUUGGGUGUGUAUUGGAGACUUCAACGACAUGCUUACAUCAGAAGACAAGAGAGGCAUUCACCCCCACCCACCACAACUCCUUGCUGGUUUCCAAGAAGCCAUCACGGACAGUCAACUCUAUGAUCUCCCCAUAAAGAGAUACCAAAUCACAUUGUCAAAAUCCUUGGGACAACCCACAAGCGUGGAAGAAAAUUGGAUAGAGCCUUGGUUAACGGAAAAUUUCGGACCUUCUAUCCCCUAGCUAAACUAACGAACCUCGUAGCCCCCAGUUCAGAUCCCUCAUCACUUCUCCUUGAGAUCAACCAGAAACAAGUGAUUCAACCCAUAAGGAAAUUCCGAUUCAAAAAUAGCUGGAGAAAGAAGACGGUUCUACGGCCGAUUGUCAUGUCGGCCUGGGACCCAGGAGGCAAUACACCUUUGGAACAGGACUUAACAAACUGUGCAACCAUACUUAGCGAAUGGAGGAAAGCAGAGAAGCCACAAUUUUGAAAAAAACAUUGAGGCUAAAUGUCGGGAACUUAAAAAAAUCUGAGACCACAUUACUCCUAACAUAAGAGAAUGAAUAUCGAAAGUGCCAAUCAGAAUACAUAUCUCUACUCUCUGAAGAAGAGACUUUCUGGAAUCAACGUGCCAAGCAGAACAGGAUGAAAGAUGGGGAUCUCAACACACGUUUCUUCCACGCUACAACCAACAGACACAGAAAAAGGAAAUAAUUACUGGGCCUUCACUCACCAAUGGGGGGUUUUACAGAUAACAUAUCUCAUAUGGGAGAGAUAGCGAUCCAAUACUUUACGAAACUGUUUAAUCAAAAGGGCCAAGCAGUUGAUGAAGUGGCAGCACACAUCAUAACUCGGAUCACCCAAGCGCGAAAUGAACAGCUCAUCCCGUCGAUCACAGAUAUGGAGUUCAAACAAGCAAUUAAAUCAUUGGGUUCUAACAAAUCACCGGGUCCGGAUGGUUUCAACCCAACUUUCUACCAGGAUUUCUGCGCCAUAAUAGGUUUGAAAAUCAGUAAUGACUGCCAUAGCUGGCUACAUGACGAUAACAUUCCACGACAGGUUCAACACACCAACAUAAUGUUUCUACCGAAAGUAGACAAUUUCACGUCAAUGAAGGACCUCCGACCUAUCUCACAGUGUAAUGUCAGAUACCGUAUCAUUGCAAAAGUCCUAGCAGAGCGAUUUCAAAAGGUGAUACCAAAUCUCGUGCAAGAGGAACAAUCCGCCUUCAUUCACAGUAGAUCUAUUAUGGAUAACAUUAUGAUUGCCUUCGAAUCUCUUCAUAGUAUGACCACGAAACCGGCCGCAAAAGUAGGAAGUGUGGCACUAAAGAUCGACAUCUCAAAGGCCUAUGAUAGAGUGGAAUGGAGAUAUUUGGAACCAGUCAUGGCAAAGAUGGGGUUCUCCUCCAAUUGGAUCUAUUGGAUGUUACUCUUCGUCCGAUCGGUUACUUACUCAGUCUCGAUAAACAACCAAGAAUUCGGCUCUAUCCAACCUAGGCGUGGCCUUCGCUAGGGCUUCUCCCUUUCACCUUUCUUAUUUAUCCUGUGCACAAAAGGACAUAUAGCGAUGAUCCAAAACGCGUCCUUGAAAAAACAACUACAAGGCUACAUAGUUACUCGUAGAGCACCAACAAUUUCCCGUCUCCUUUUUACUAACGAUUCUCUCUUUUUUAUGGCAGCCACGGUGAAUGAAGCUGAGAAAAUGCACAAUAUCUUACAUUCAUACUCUCAGGCUUCGGGACAACUAAUCAACUAUGAAAAUUUUUUGGAAUCCGCUUCAGUAAGAACAUCAAUCAAGGGACGACAGUAGCAAUUUCAAACAUUAUGGGGGUACAUCAUGUCCUCGACACAAACAAAUAUCUGGGAUUCCCUAUCCAACCUGGAAGAAACCACUCAGAAGCUUUCAAAAGCAUCUUAAUUAGAGUCUGGGAGAAGCUAUAAUCAUGGCAUGACAAAAAACUACCCAAAGGUGGAAAGGAGAUCCUAAUAAAAGAAGUGGCACAGGCUUUACCCAUGGCAUAGUAUGAAGGUCUUCCUUCUACCAGACUCUCUAAUCGUGGAGCUAGAACGUAUGUUUACAUCUUUCUAGUGGGGGUGCAAACGCUACUGGAUGAGAUGGGAACGCCUGGCAAUUAGAAAAGAGCACGGUGGGAUGGGUUUCCGUUACCUGAAAGGUUUCAACUUAGCUCUUCCGGGAUAUGAAGACUUUCGAGUAAGUGCUUUGAUGGAGACCAAUACAAAAUCUUGGGAAACAACCCUCUUGGAAAUAUACUUCAAUGAAAGAGAUAAAGCUGUAAUUUUGGCUAUCCCAUCCAGCGUGGCUACAAGUAUAGACACCCCGAUUUGGCACUUUAGCAAAAAUGGAGACUACACAGUUCCGUUCUACAUAUCGUCGAUACACUGAGAGCAUGAUUGACAGAUCAUACCACCAUCAGAUAUGAGAAUGGCGCAAAUAUUGGGAUAUUAUCACCACCGGCCCAUUUAAACACCUUGUUUGGCAGGUGGCAUAUGAUUUCUUACCAACCAGAGACCGUCUCCGACAUUAGGGAGUUAAUUUUCAUGACACAUUCGAGGAAAGCUUCCACCUUUUUCUAGACAACCCGUUUGCACGAAAGGCUCCCCUAGGUUUAUAGCAACUUAAACCUCAAAUUUGUUGUCGAUGCAUGCAUUUAGAAUUUGAUUUAGAGAGUGUAAUCGUCGGAGUCGGCGGCUGAAGCGAGGAAGAGUCUGCAUUAGAAGUGGGAUUUUGAUCUUAGAAACUGAGGGGGAUUGACUGUUGGACAAAGAUCGAGAUGACAAUUUAAAUCUUCCAUACCUAAAUCGCCGAUUGCAAUAAAUGAGAAAGAGGUUCUUGAUUUUUUAAGAGAAAUUGACAUAAAAAGCUACAGAUACAAUGAAUUGAAAAAGAGAAUAUCUAAGAGAUAUUACUACAUCCGGGUCUCCGAGGCGGAUAGUAUAAUACAGGCACCGCUGCUUCCUGGUCUCUGAGGCAUAAACCCCUAUUAACACAGGACAGGCUCGGGUGGGUAGCUAGUUUGCCGGAUUUCAAUGCCAAGCGUACUCCUCUCUUCCAUGCUCCUUUGGGCUACUUUGCUUUUUUACUUUGGCAUUGGACUUUGAUGUCGAUUGCAGAUUCAAGUACUUUGUGAAUUGUAAAUUAUUGCAAAAAUUCAUCAGUAGUAAGUCAGCACCAGUAACUAACCAAAUCAUCAACCUUACACCAAAACAAUCAAAUAAAAGUAGCAGCAACAACACAUCCAUAUUCCUACAGCAGGAAGUCAGCAACACCGCCAUAUUCAAGCAGCAGCAACAACAAACCCUAAAUGAACAGAUGAAAUGGAUUGUUUAUUCAAGCAAGUAACAAAUCGGCCAGUUUAAAGACCUGUUAGUCACUCACCUAUAGAUAGUGCAAAGAUAGAGGAUUAAAAUUUGAAUCCAUCAGCAGAUCCAUCUCCCUUUUUGUAGAUGAGAACCAUUGAUGGAUUGAAGAUGGAUUCAUGGACUCCAUGGAUUGGAAACUGGAAUCACCAACAUAAGGGGACUAAUAGAGCCAUCAUAGAGUAGAAUCUUUGGGGUUUCUUGAUUAUAGGAGAGGAGAAGAUUGAAUCAGUGAUUUGAUUUGAGGAAUCAGCGAUUUGAAUGAGAAUGAUGAUUGAUGAAUUUGAAUACGAGGGUUUCGAAAAUCUGAACACAACCCGAAUAAUUACCCCUCUGGGUCGCUUGGGCGGAUCUAGCCUUCCAGAACCCUGCUUGAGCCCGAUAGAUACGGGUGGCGGGUAAGCCCGGACUCGACUAAUAAUCUGGUCAAACCGGGCCGAGGGCGGGCGGGCUUCUGAGGCACCGGCUUUUUAUGCCAAGCCUAAUUCCAC